GGAGGAGGAUGGCGUCACAGUAUAAAAGGCGCUGCGCCGUAUAAUCGAGCUGGAAGUUGUUUUUCAAUCGUUCGGGAAGAAUCUGGGUGGUGGCGCGCGCACACACACCCACUCGGCAACGCAAACCCUCUUGCACUCUCAUCCCGAAUACCCCACCCAUUCAUGUGAACUGGUCUGGACCUGAAAGCUGCACGAUGUUUCAGUGUAAGAGGCUGAAGGCCUGGGGCGGCCUGUGCCCCGCGCUGCUGUUACUGCGGUGAAGCGAUCCAAACACUUGCUUGUGUGUUACCCCCGGAGUGGCCAGUGGUCAAACCGCUCUGAUGGCUUCGAAUGAACAUAACGUUCCUGCUAUCGAGCAUCCUUCGAGCUUACUGGGAAAGCUGUCCCUACCCAUUGGGAUGCACCGUAGGGCAUUCAGUUAUGAUGACGCCUUGGAAGAUUUAUCGCCAAUGACACCCCCUCCUCCUGAUAUGGGAAGCAAUAUAUUGUGGAAACAGCCUGUUAUUCCAGAGCGGAAAUAUCAACAAUUAUCUAUGUCAAUGUAUUGGAAGCAGGGUGGCUGGCAGGACUUGGCAGUAUUUACUCAGUAAACAAGAGCAAGCAAAGUUUGUUUAAAAGCAAUUUCUACUGACUAGCAGCAAUUGGAACAUAACUUCUCCCAAUAAAAUCAGGGUGAGUUCUCC
Molecule: non-coding RNA, 683 nt
Organism: Chiloscyllium plagiosum (whitespotted bambooshark)
Lineage: Eukaryota; Metazoa; Chordata; Chondrichthyes; Orectolobiformes; Hemiscylliidae
Source: RefSeq, a predicted model, not a curated record